AUAGACAGAAAAAUCGUGGAUGAAGAACAGGGGCGGGAGGGACUUUCGCCGGACAGGGAGACAGAUAACGAACGAUGAGUUUCUUACUAACUCUUCCGUCCCCGACGAUUCUCAGUCCUCCGCUCAAGUUACCAAGCUCUGUCCGAAAACCAUGCUGCCUGCAGCUAGGUAGGGCGGAGGGAUAUCCGAGAGUGACAAUGAGAGGCGGAAGUGAAAACCGGAAGCCACUGCAGAAGGGGAGGAACCUCAGCAUCGAAGCAAUUCAAGCGGUGCAAUCGUUGAAGCGAACAAAGAAAGAUUUACAACAAUUGGACCGAGUGUAUGAUUCCAAAAUUAGGCGCUUAUUGAAGUUUGAUAUGUUGGCUGUUCUUCGCGAGCUCCUUCGCCAGAACGAGUGUUCUUUGGCUCUUAAGGUUUUCGAAGAUGUUAGAAAUGAACACUGGUACAAGCCUCAGGUCUCGCUGUAUGCUGAUAUUAUUACAGUAUUGGCUAGCAAUGGAUUGUUCGAACGAGUACAAAUUAUUCUUUCGUACAUGAAAGCAGAGACUGAUUUAGCACCUGAAAUUGACGGGUUUAACGCUCUUUUGAAGGCAUUGGUUGGUCAUAAUUUAGGUAAACUGGCGAUGGAGUCGUAUUAUUUGAUGAAGGAAGUAGGUUGUGAGCCAAAUAAGGCUUCUUUCAGGAUUGUAAUAAAAGGAUUGGAAUUAAAGGGAGAGGCAGUUGAUUUAAGAACUGUGAAACAGGAUGCACAAAAGCUUUAUGGUGAAUCACUCGAGUUUUUGGAGGAAGCAGAAGAGGGAGCUACAGCCAUAUCUAUACACUGAGCUGCAGAAUCAGGAGUCAAAUUAUGGAAUGGAAGGCAUAUACAGAUGAAGUUGUGUCAAGAAAGAUGGAGUUCAUUAGCAUUUCCUUUGAAGAAACCUGAAAAGACUCAGAAACUUCCCCUAGAUAUGAGCUUAACUGUACACUGGCUUAAGUCAACCCAUGCUUUGCAGAGAAUCUAUGUGAUAACUUUUCAGUCAUGGAAAAAUUGAUACUAGUGAUCUCAUGAAUGUUGGACGAGUUGUAUCAGUUUACUCUCCUCAUUCUUUAUUCCCAUGCCUGCUUGGCAGUGUCACUGAUUCACUGGUCUGUGCAGAGAAAAGCCGAUCAUCUUGCAACAUACUUCAGCUCCUGUAUGGUGAGCAUGAGACAAAUAAAAGGGGAAAUACUAGAAUAUAAGUCUUAAUCCAAGUUUACAGGUGCAACGCUGUAGGAAGUAAGUGCUCUUCCACUGCUGGAGGUAACUUCAAAAGAGAGAGGUUGUCCGUGAAGAUUGACAUUGCUUUGCCAGUUCUGUCCCCAGUUCCUUGCCAAUGCAAAUGCUGCCUCUGACAUCUCAAAGUGCUCCUUGGGAAAAUUACACCACCCGCCAUAAUCGGAAGACAAGCCGUAAUUGGGAGGACAGAAGUCGGUGGCUGUUAGAAUGACAGUCGGGCUUCCUUGCAAGCACCACAAGAUGUGAUCAACACAUCUAAGCUCAUAGCAGGCCCCACAGUACCAGAUUUCCAUUCUUCAUCCUUAGCCGCAAAGAUAUCAAAUGUUUGAAGAAGGACCAAAUAGUAGACUAUCAUAGCUACAAAACCAGCCAUUUCAGAAGAAUACAAGGCCUCGAAGAAGCCUGUGCUGUGUAUGUACUCAAAAUGAGCCCUUUGUUCACAUUGGUGGCGCUUUUAACGAGGCAAAGAACUAUUCUUCUUAGUUUGCCGAUAAUUGGGGGGCUCAAAGAAGCAAAUUUGGAGGCUUUCAUUUUAGCCAUUAUCAAUGUGGGAAGAGGUUGAGGCUCUAUGUCAAUGGCGGCAGAUGCAGAGAGGAAAUCCAUCCAUAAGAAACAGAAGACUAAAGGAAAAACACAAAUGGGGGCGUUUAGAGCUUGGAGUGGUUUAUUAUAAUAUGUGGUUAUUAUAGUCUGUGAGUUAUAAUAGUUUGUAUUUAAGAUAUAGAUUAUUAUAAUAUAUGUUUGGGAUGCAAAUCACUGUAAUUGAGUUACUAUAAUCUGUGUUUGUAUUGCAGAUUAUUAUAAUCUAAAUUAUAUCAAAAGUGAUUUUUUUUUUCACUAUUUUUUUUUGCAAUACACAUAUUUGUUUUUUUCAAUAGUUCAUCUUUAUUCUUCAAAAGUUAUUUAUCUACGAUCAUCAAAUACAACUUAUUUAUUUAUUUUUCAUUCUAUAAUUAACUAAUUUGAUUUUAGCAAACAAGUGCAUUUUCUAAUUUCGCAAAUACUUUUCUUUUUGUACAAGAACACAAAUCUUACACUAAUAAUUAAUAUAAUUUUUAUUCUGUUAAUAAAAAAUAUAAAUAGAAUUUAUUAGUGAAAAAGGGCAUUGCUAUUUAUUUCUUUCUCAUAUUAAUUUGUUUUUACAUUUUAAGACUGUUCUCUCCAUAUUUCAUUCAAAUGGUUAAAAUCUAUAAUUUAAGUAAACAUUAACAUUCAAAUCAAAAUCAAAACAUCUAUCCAUCUUAUUUACAAACAACCAUACACAUUUCAUACGUAUUAGUGAAAGAAAAUUUAAGAAAAUUUAUAAAACACGAAAUUUGAAACUAUUCUUUUUAUCUUUUCACCAUAUAUAAACUAAAAUAUGUGACACAAAAUCCAAAACAUUGCUCAUCAAUGAGCAGUAGUAACAUAAAAUUGAUAAAAGAAAAAAAGAAAAAAAAAUAGUGGAAUUAAGAUUGCAAUUUAGGAGCUCCAUUGUUGUUGUUUUUCCGCUCUGAAUCUUGUUUUGUCUAGCUCUAGCAACCAAAUAUUUUGUAUAAUCUUUUCGAAGAAUAUCUUCCAAAGAGAGAGGUUCAAAUCAAGAAUCCCCAUUAGGCCCAAGGAAAGAUCAUACAAAGGAAUUUCUUCAAUUGAAAUUUGUAGUUCCGAUUAUACUGUUGCUAUGUUUUGCAAUUGACGGUUCAGAUUCAUCGUGAUUAUUCUCACAUUUGAGUUUGAGGAUUUCAUAGUUAAUUUAGCUAUUUCCACGGCAACCGAACUUGAGGUCCCAAUUUCUGGAUUUGCUAAAUGAUUAUUGAAACCACCAAGAAUCAUCUAUUCGAGAAAGAAAAUAUACAUAUUGAAUCGAACAGAAAAAAGGAAAAAUAAUUCAAAUAAGAUUAAAAUAACAACAAACCUUCGAAAGGAUUCGAUGAAGCAAAACGAACGAGGGAGUAGGAGACUGAGACGAAGGGUUUCAGAGAAGGAAAAGAUCGAUGAGCUAGGAGAGGAAGAUGGAGAAGGAGAGGCGUAGAGUUGAGUGGAGAAGAGAUCGUUUGGCCAGGGAGAGAAGACAGAGAAGAAUCGAUGCAGAGUUGGGAGGGAAAGAAAAUAAUGUGGCUGUUGAGUUGGGAGGAGCAGGAACAGUGAUUAGCCCUAAUCCCCAAAUCAAACUCAAUCCUUGAGCCAAAUAUGGAGUGGGCUUACUCCACUCCAAUCUGUGGGCCAAACAUGCCCCAUGAGUUUUGUAAAAAGAAGGCAUAAUUGAAGCACGAGAAUCAAGAAAAAAUAAUAUUAAAUAAAUAAAUAAGAAAAUUAAGAAAUAUAAACAAAAUUUUUCCAUUUAUCCAAGUAAUUUGGAAAACCCUCCAAUAUUUGUGUUUUUUUUUACAAAUCCACCGAAUGUUACUUUACAGUCAAUUUGGCAAGGCAAGCACAUAAGGAUUAGAUGACUAAUGUGUUGACAUGUGGUUAUAUAACCAUUAAGCACACCAAUGAAUAUCCGUAAGUUAAUAGUAUUUAUAACUACGAGUUCAUUUUGAUUUUUUUUUAAAUUUAUUAUAGUUCUAAUUUACCCACAUUUUGUUCUCCUUGGGAUGGAGAUAAUAGGCAAAUUUAAGUUAGUGGCACUAUUCCCUAUUAUAUUUGCAAUUUAUUCUUACAAAAUAAAUUGAAGAACCAAUUUUGAUUUCCGUAGUUUGAACUUUGGUUUUAAUUCAAUCUAUAUGAUUCUAAACUUUCUGACAUUUUAAUGGACGACGCUUUGAAUUCUUCCGAAGAGUUUUAGGGGCUGUUUGGGAGGAUGUUUAACACUGUGGGGUUAGGUUAUGUUAAUCCUAACCCCCGUUUGGACGUAGGGUUAUGGAAGCCCUAGUUUUAGGGUUUCCAUAACACGGGUUGGGCCCUCAAAAUCUUCCAUUCUGUCUGCCGAUUUAUCUCCCUCGUGGUUCUCCUUCAACCCGUGUUAAUCCAUCUCAUUAAACCCGUUUCCCAUUUGAUCCCUCCUUCCCCUUCGAUUUCGAUUUCACUUCUUCUUUCUUCUUUCUUUUUCUUCUUCUUUCUCCCUAUUUCCCUUCGAUUCCGAUUUCACUUCCUUUUGGUUGCGGUUUGGUCUUCGAUUUCGAUUUCGAUUUCGAUUCUGAUUUAUGAGGAGAAGGCAGGUGACUUGGGUCUCGGGGAGCUGAUUGAUGGCAACGAUUCGAGUGUCGGUCAAAUUUUUCAUUGUAAUGUUAACCCCACUUCUCAAAGGUUCGACACAAUUUACUCUCAAUUUUUCUAAAAUUCUUUAGAAUAAAUCAUGUUCUUAUGAAUUUGGAGUGAAUAGGAAGUUUAACCAUAAUAAGUUGUCUUAAUGUGGUUUCUAAAACAAAUUAACAGGUUAUUUUAUGGAAAGGUUUCAAAUAGCCCCUGCAUUUUUCUAUUACAGAUGAAAAAUAAAGGAGAUUGUAGGACAUUUUCCCCUGCCAUUGCUGGGCUUAAGCAUUUGAGAGACCUUUAUUUGCAUUACAACUUGUUGUUUGAAGAUAUUCUUAGAGAGAUUGCUAACUUGACUCUGCUUUCUGGUUUGUAUUUGAAUGUUAAUAAUUUUUCUGAGGAGAUUCCUUCUGAGAUUGGAAACAUGGGGAGCUUGCAAGUUUUUUCUUUGUUAUAAUCUGCUCAGUGGAAGCAUACCUACACAGCUUUCAUCUUUGAAGAAGCUCAAUGUUAUUGUUCUCCAAUCUAAUUAGUUAACUGGUACAAUCUCUGCAAGCUUGGGACGUUUGGACUUGUUAGUGAGAGUAGACUUGAGCUCCAAUCAUCUGUUUGGUUUCGUUCCUUGAAGGCUCGCUGAUGCGCCUUCGCUUGAAGUUCAUGAUGUUUGAAACAAUACCCUCUCUGGCAAUGUACCUCCUGGUACCAAUUGAUCUUUAAACCAUUUUAUAAGGAAGAUGUACUUAUUUUUUUGUGUUCUGUUCA
Molecule: RNA transcript, 5191 nt
Organism: Cucumis melo (muskmelon)
Lineage: Eukaryota; Viridiplantae; Streptophyta; Magnoliopsida; Cucurbitales; Cucurbitaceae
Gene name: protein THYLAKOID ASSEMBLY 8, chloroplastic-like
Exons: 8
Source: RefSeq, a predicted model, not a curated record